RNAcentral lists this ribosomal RNA (497 nucleotides) under uncultured bacterium. Its description in RNAcentral is "partial 16S ribosomal RNA". It matches the Rfam family "Bacterial small subunit ribosomal RNA", at positions 28 to 507 of the family's 1533-position model. The record is from RNAcentral.
GAUGAACGCUGGCGGCGUGCCUAAUACAUGCGAGUCGAGCGAACAGACGAGGAGCUUGCUCCUCUGACGUUAGCGGCGGACGGGUGAGUAACACGUGGAUAACCUACCUAUAAGACUGGGAUAACUUCGGGAAACCGGAGCUAAUACCGGAUAAUAUAUUGAACCGCAUGGUUCAAUAGUGAAAGACGGUUUUGCUGUCACUUAUAGAUGGAUCCGCGCCGCAUUAGCUAGUUGGUAAGGUAACGGCUUACCAAGGCAACGAUGCGUAGCCGACCUGAGAGGGUGAUCGGCCACACUGGAACUGAGACACGGUCCAGACUCCUACGGGAGGCAGCAGUAGGGAAUCUUCCGCAAUGGGCGAAAGCCUGACGGAGCAACGCCGCGUGAGUGAUGAAGGUCUUCGGAUCGUAGAACUCUGUUAUUAGGGAAGAACAAAUGUGUAAGUAACUAUGCACGUCUUGACGGUACCUAAUCAGAAAGCCACGGCUAACUACGUG